RNAcentral lists this ribosomal RNA (330 nucleotides) under uncultured bacterium. Its description in RNAcentral is "bacterial SSU rRNA". It matches the Rfam family "Bacterial small subunit ribosomal RNA", at positions 389 to 733 of the family's 1533-position model. The record is from RNAcentral.
CAUUAACGCCGCGUGCGGGAUGAAGGCCUUCGGGCUGUAAACCGCUUUCAGCAGGAACGAAAAUGACGGUACCUGCAGAAGAAGGAGCGGCAACUGCGUGCCAGCAGCCGCGGUGACACGUAGGCUCCAAGCGUCGUCCGGAUUUAUUGGGCGUAAAGAGCUCGUAGGCGGUUGAGUAAGUCGGGUGUGAAAACUCUGGGCUUAACCCGGAGACGCCAUCCGAUACUGCUCUGACUUGAGUUCAGGAGGGGACGUGGGGCAUUCCUAGUGUACGCGGUGAAAUGCGCAGAUAUUACGAGGACCACCGGUGGCGACAGGCGCCACUCUGGA